CCGCUCCCGCCCGACCCCCCGCCCUAACCCCAGCGCGACGGCAGCUCCGGCGAAGACAACUGCGGGGCCGGGCGGCGGCAACGGCGGCGGAAUGUACAGCCGGCUGAGAGGGGGAGGCAGCCUCGAUCUGAAGGCCCCGGCGCCGCGGCCACGCCCCUCGCCGCCAGCGCAGCUUGCCGAUUGGCCAACCCGGCUCCGGUGCGCUCAGCCAAUCGGAAGGGGCGAUGGAGAGCGGGGACGGAAAGAGCAAACGCGGAGGGGACGGGAGCGACGCCGGGAGCGGAGCGGGGAGGGCCGAGCGCGGAGCGACCGUGUGGCUUGGGAGGCGGGGAGGAAAUGGAAGAGGAGUCGUUGUGAGGGCAGGGAAGGCAGGGGAAGGAGAAGCCCGGCAACGGGCCCGGAACAAGGCGGGGUCCCGGCUGGAAGCCGAGUUGGAGCGGCGUUCUUUCCCGCCGCGUGCGCCCGCUCUUCCGGGGAGGUUCUGGGGCGCGCGCCGGGGCGGGAACCCCAGCGCGGCGGCGGCCGGGCCGGCCUUGGCGGGGCGGUGCGCGCGGGGCCCGGCCGAGGAAGGCCCAUUGGAAGGCUCGGGUUCAUCGCGGACCGAGUGCCCGCAACAGGACCAUCAUUAACAGAGGCAGAGGUAAUACGAGCUGCAAAAGAACGUGCUUGCAAUUCCGGAAAAGAGUAUAAGGAAAUGUUUUAAAACUAAAUAUACUGGCACCUCUCUUGUGCUCUGCGACGUAGUUAGCGGCUCGGAUCAGAAGCAAGAACGUAGGCGUUGGAUGUGUUUCUGUAAGUCGAGAAGGAGGAGGAAGCCCUACAGAGUCCUUUGGAAUCUUUUCUGUUUCUUUCGGAUCAGCAGAACCAGUGCAGAAGUAAACGCUUCGAGUGAGACGUUGUUUAAAUACUUCUAAAGUCAAAAGAUGGAAAUGUUUCUUAAAAAAGAAAAGGAAACCAGUGUGUUUAAACAGUGUAAACGGCAGAGUUGUCUCUGAACAAAGGGGAACGAGGGUAGCUGGAAUACGAUCGGAGUCACUUAAAGAUGAUUUUUAAAAAAAAUUAGAAGCAGAGUAAUAUAUUUUUAAGUGUUCAGUACUUUGCAUACCUUCCACGGGACUGUAGCAAAGAAACUACCUGGAAAUAAUUUACACUAAAGAGUAACUUGAAUGUAAAUUGAGUGCAGAUCUUAAAAUAUAAAUGAUGUUUAUUAUAAAUUUCUAUUCACCCCAAGGACCAGUUUAGUUAAAUUCACUUUGUGUUUACGUGCAGGUUUAGGAUGAGAAACUUAAGUUGUGAGGCUGAUGUUACGUGUUUUCCACCAUCGUAGACUUGAUCAUAAACAGGGUUCAAGAAAAAGAUUUACUAGUGAAUGCUUACUCGGACUGGAAGUUAUCCUGUCGGUGUGCAUAUGUAGAUGAAUACUUUGUACUUCUUGAAAUAAAUGUAAUUCUUUUCAUGAUGAAGUAGAAUUGUUUACUGUUGUAUAUCUUCAUAUCACUCAGAUGGAAUUAAUUGUAUUUGAUGAUUAAACAGCCUGAAAUUCUCUCUGCAGAAAAUUAAGAUGGGUUUGAUCAGCAUACUAACUGAGAGAGGCAGUACAGUUAGGUGAUAACCACAUCUUGUAAUUUUGUUUAACGUGUGACUGAAGUCUGCCUUGCUCUCUAGACAGUAGCUCUCCGAAGUCAAGGAUAAUAUUUGUGUUGUUGUCUACUGAAUACUUAGCACACAGUAGUACUUGCCGCUUGGUGUGCACCCUGUUGGUCAAGCACAAAAACCUAAGCUUUUUCAAGGGUAUGUUCUUGAAAUUUCAAAAUGAACACUUGUUUACAUAAAUGUGUAAGCCAGGCGUGGUGGUGCACACCUGGAAUCCCAGCACUUGGGAGGCUGAGGCAGGAGGAUCGUUGAAAGUUCCAGACCAGCCUGCGCUACAAAGUGAGUUCAAGGCCAGCCUAAACUACAUAGUGAGACCCUGUCUGAAAAAGUCAAAAAUAAAAAAUAUGUAGAUUGAGUUGUUACUGCUUUUAAUUUACACAGAAUUUCAUCCAAGAAUACCUGAUUUUAUGUCAUGCUCAUUCCAGAGUUAAAAUUUAAGAAAUAAAUCAACUGUUUCAGGGCAGAGCCUUUCAUAUGUGUAAAAGAGUGAUCCAUUUUUGGAAGACAAACAAUUAUCCUUAAUUAUAAUUUGUAGGUAGUCUUGUUUGCUGGCCUAAAUUCUUCAGAUGAAAUUGUCACUGCUCAUUGACCAGCAAGUUUAUAUGUUUAACGUCUGUACUUGCAGUUCAUGUAAGAUAGAAGAUACAUAAUUUAUCAAAGGAAUAAGUUUUUCAGGAAGUUGGUAAUAGCUCUAAAUGUAGCUACAGUAGAAUUAACCCUUGUUAGGAAGUUUUAUUUAUUUUUGUUUUUUUUUUUUUUUUGAGGCACAGUCUCUGUAGUUCAGGGUGGCUUUGAACUCGAGGCAAUCCUCCUCCCUUUGCCUUGCAAGUGCUGGGAAUACAGAUGUAUCCCACCAUGCAAGCAACAUUUUAGAGAUUUACUCUGCCUGACGGAUGAAAUAGUAAAAUUCAGAUUUGUUAGUAUCGUUUUGACAAUAGUUUGGAUGCUAUAGCAAAUUAUACUGGGUAGCAAUUAACAUUUAUCUCAGUUCUGUAGGAUACGAAGUCCAAUAUCAAGGAGCUAGGAGAUUUAGUGUCAGCGGAGGCCUAGGGCUAGCUUCCUGGUUUGCAAAGAGCUGUCUCUGUAUUUUCAUAUGGCAGAAAGCAACCAGAGAGAGAAAACUCUUGUCUCUACCGUUAAGAACAGAUUACCUCCUAAAGGCCUCACCCCUUAGUAUUAUCACAUCGGGGAGUACAAUAUCAGCGUGAAUUUUGGGGCACACAAACAUUCAGACUGUAAGAAAGAGACUAACCAAAUACACAGUUCUAACCCAAACACUAAAACCUAUUCUACUUAAGAGACUUGCUUCAAAUAAGCUAUUCUCGAGCAAGCAUGAGGUCCUGAGUUCAAUUCCCGAUACCAAAGAAAACCCCCCAAAACAAAAACAAAUAGGCUAUUCUAUGUUAGGUAACUUCAUAUCUUGACUGUUACUUUUGGCAUAGGAAAAAUACUGUGGAGAUACUUAUAUUCAAUGAAUCAUUGUGUUCUCUUAGAGUCAUGUGAAUAAAGACACUUUCUGCUUGCAGCAGGUUUUUUCUUUUUUUCUUUUUGAGGCAGAGUCUCGCUAUGCAGUUCAGGCUGGCCUUGAGCUCACUUUGUAGUUCAGGCUGGUCUUGAACUCAAGAUGAUCCUCCUGCCUCAGCCUCCCAAGUGCUGGGAUUACAAGCAUGCACCACCACGCCCAGCUAUAGCAGGUUUGUGAAGGAAUUUGUAAACCAACACACAGGGCUUGGGUUGGUAAAAUGUAUCUCAAAACGAAAAAUAAUCAUUAAGUACUUCAGUUAAACAGUUUGAAUUUUUUUUUUUUUUUUUUUUUUUUUGGUCUUUUUGAGACAAAGUCUUUCUAUGCAGUUCAGGCUGGCCUUGAGCUCACUUUAUAGCCCAGACUGAUCUCAAACUUGCUGCAGUCCUGCUGCCUCAGCCUCCCAAGAGCUGGGAUUACGGCAUGAAUUAUUAUUAUUAUUUUUUAAAGAGUAAAAGAAGGAUAACAUAGUAAUAGGGGGACUUACAGAAUUACAGACAAAGUGGUAGGAAAUUAUCAAUAGUUAUUUUACCUAUUGGUAUCUUCAAGAUAGUUUCUCAGGAAAAC
This 3742-nucleotide long non-coding RNA is filed under the name Chinchilla lanigera (long-tailed chinchilla). RNAcentral's name for it is "lncRNA (ENSCLAG00000025562.1)". Lineage: Eukaryota; Metazoa; Chordata; Mammalia; Rodentia; Chinchillidae. The record is from RNAcentral.